AGAGUUUGAUUAUGGCUCAGAACGAACGCUGGCGGCAUGCUUAAACACAUGCAAGUCGAACGAUCUCUUCGGAGAUAGUGGCGGACGGGUGAGUAACGCGUGGGAACCUGCCCCGAGGUACGGAAUAACUCAUGGAAACGUGAGCUAAUACCGUAUGUGACCUGAGGGUGAAAGAUUUAUCGCCUUGGGAGGGGCCCGCGUCGGAUUAGGUAGUUGGUGGGGUAAUGGCCUACCAAGCCUGCGAUCCGUAGCUGGUCUGAGAGGAUGAUCAGCCACACUGGAACUUAGACACGGUCCAGACUCCUACGGGAGGCAGCAGUGGGGAAUAUUGGACAAUGGGGGCAACCCUGAUCCAGCAAUGCCGCGUGCGUGAUGAAGGCCUUAGGGUUGUAAAGCGCUUUCGGCGGGGAAGAUGAUGACGGUACCCGCAGAAGAAGCCCCGGCUAACUCCGUGCCAGCAGCCGCGGUAAUACGGAGGGGGCUAGCGUUGUUCGGAAUUACUGGGCGUAAAGGGCGCGUAGGCGGCGAUUUAAGUUAGGCGUGAAAGCCCCGGGCUUAACCUGGGAACUGCGCUUGAUACUGGAUUGCUUGAGGACGGAAGAGGGUAGUGGAAUUCCCAGUGUAGAGGUGAAAUUCGUAGAUAUUGGGAAGAACACCAGUGGCGAAGGCGACUACCUGGUCCGUUUCUGACGCUGAGGCGCGAAAGCGUGGGGAGCAAACAGGAUUAGAUACCCUGGUAGUC
Molecule: ribosomal RNA, 742 nt
Filed under: uncultured Oceanibaculum sp.
Lineage: Bacteria; Pseudomonadati; Pseudomonadota; Alphaproteobacteria; Rhodospirillales; Oceanibaculaceae
Description: bacterial SSU rRNA
Rfam family: Bacterial small subunit ribosomal RNA
Source: RNAcentral